RNAcentral lists this ribosomal RNA (468 nucleotides) under uncultured bacterium. RNAcentral describes it as "partial 16S ribosomal RNA". It matches the Rfam family "Bacterial small subunit ribosomal RNA", at positions 28 to 507 of the family's 1533-position model. The record is from RNAcentral.
GAUGAACGCUGGCGGCGUGCUUAACACAUGCAAGUCGAACGGAAACGCCCUGCUUUUUUGGGGUUCUCGAGUGGCGAACGCGUGAGUGAGACGUGAGUAACCUGCUCUUGAUUUUGGGAUAACUUCAGGAAACUGGGGCUAAUACCAGAUAGGAUCUCCUGCACCAUGGUAGGGGUUGGAAAUUUUCGGCGUUCGGGGAUGGACUCGCGGCUUAUCAGCUUGUUGGUGGGGUAGUUGCUUACCAAGGCAUUGACGGGUAGCCGGCAUGAGAGGGUGAACGGGCACAUUGGGACUGAGAUACGGCCCAGACUGCUACGGGAGGCAGCAGUGGGGAAUAUUGCACAAUGGGAGGAAGCCUGAUGAAGCAACGCCGCGUGCGGGAUGACGGUCUUCGGGUUGUAAACAGCUUUAGCCUGUGACGAAGCGUGAGUGACGGUAAUGGGUAAAGAAGCACCGGCUAACUACGUG